This is a long non-coding RNA of Monomorium pharaonis (pharaoh ant), 577 nucleotides long. RefSeq lists it as uncharacterized. The transcript has 2 exons. The record is from RefSeq and is a predicted model, not a curated record. NCBI's taxonomy places the organism in Eukaryota, Metazoa, Arthropoda, Insecta, Hymenoptera, Formicidae.
AUUCUGUCUGUUAAAGUGUGUAUUGAAAGUGAAAAUUAUUCUUGAAUUAAGCAUCUCAGUGAUUUAAAACAAAUAGGCAAGUUUAUUGACAAUAAAAGAAUUGCAGUUUAACGAUAAAACAUUCUAUUCUUUGGUAUUGUUCUAAAUUUACUUAUUGAUUAUAAAUACAUAAAAGUGCGACGCAAUGAAUAUAAAGGAAGCAACUACCCGGUCGAUACUGCCCUUGAUGUAAAGGUUAAACGAAACCGGGUGCAACGAUAGUGAAUGCAUUCAAUAAUAAGAAAUGUAUAUAAGAGCAUUAUGAAUGUGAUAAAAUCUACAUUUUGUAUUACAUUUUUAUUAUGUCAUACAUUAUAUCAUAUCGAUUUGCUGAGAGAGAUAAUAAAAGAUAAAAUAGAAUAAAUAAUCCGUCUUUGCAUUAGCACUCUACUUAAACGUGACAUUCUAUAUCGAUUUCUACAUUGUUUGCUUAUUUGUAUUGAAUUUAUUAGUAUUUUAUACUUUUAAGUGUUGAAUUGUGAGUUGUUUAAAUUGUAUCGUAUGUAAAUAUAUAAAUAUGAUCAUUAAAUCUUUUUUG